RNAcentral lists this ribosomal RNA (253 nucleotides) under uncultured bacterium. Its description in RNAcentral is "partial 16S ribosomal RNA". It matches the Rfam family "Bacterial small subunit ribosomal RNA", at positions 524 to 776 of the family's 1533-position model. The record is from RNAcentral.
UACAGAGGGGGCAAGCGUUAUUCGGAAUUAUUGGGCGUAAAGGGCGCGUAGGCGGCCUGGCAAGUGAAAGGUGAAAUCCCUCGGCUUAACCGAGGAACUGCCUUUCAGACUGCUUGGCUUGAGACCGGGAGAGGUGAGUGGAAUUCCCAGUGUAGCGGUGAAAUGCGUAGAUAUUGGGAGGAACACCAGUGGCGAAGGCGGCUCACUGGACCGGUACUGACGCUGAUGCGCGAAAGCGUGGGGAGCAAACGGG